GCCAGGAUGGCGGAAAUGGUAGACGCGCAGGAUUUAGGAUCCUGUACCGCAAGGUGUGUGGGUUCGAUUCCCUCUCCUGGCA
Molecule: transfer RNA, 82 nt
Filed under: Candidatus Roizmanbacteria bacterium RIFCSPHIGHO2_02_FULL_43_11
Lineage: Bacteria; Candidatus Roizmaniibacteriota
Description: tRNA-Leu
Rfam family: tRNA
About the family: Transfer RNA (tRNA) molecules are approximately 80 nucleotides in length. Their secondary structure includes four short double-helical elements and three loops (D, anti-codon, and T loops).
Source: RNAcentral